UGAGCAACCUACCGAUUUGAGGGGGAUAGCUGGCCUAACGGCCAGGUAAUACCGCAUACGCUCAUAAAGCCUCCUGGCUUACUGAGGAAACCUCCGGGGCAGAUCGAGGGGCUCGCGGCCUAUCAGCUUGUUGGUGAGGUAAUGGCUCACCAAGGCGACGACGGGUAGCCGGCCUGAGAGGGUGACCGGCCACACUGGGACUGAGACACGGCCCAGACUCCUACGGGAGGCAG
This 233-nucleotide ribosomal RNA is filed under the name uncultured bacterium. RNAcentral describes it as "partial 16S ribosomal RNA". It matches the Rfam family "Bacterial small subunit ribosomal RNA", at positions 118 to 351 of the family's 1533-position model. The record is from RNAcentral.